RNAcentral lists this ribosomal RNA (246 nucleotides) under uncultured bacterium. Its description in RNAcentral is "partial 16S ribosomal RNA". It matches the Rfam family "Bacterial small subunit ribosomal RNA", at positions 92 to 334 of the family's 1533-position model. The record is from RNAcentral.
CGACCGGCGCACGGGUGAGUAACACGUAUGCAAUCCACCUGUAACAGGGGGAUAACCCGGAGAAAUCCGGACUAAUACCCCAUAAUAUGGGCGCUCCGCAUGGAGAGCCCAUUAAAGAGAGCAAUUUUGGUUACAGACGAGCAUGCGUUCCAUUAGAUAGUAGGCGGGGUAACGGCCCACCUAGUCUUCGAUGGAUAGGGGUUCUGAGAGGAAGGUCCCCCACAUUGGAACUGGGACACGGUCCAA